GUCGUUAGCUCUAAAUACUUUUUUUUCCUCUUUAACUUUAAAAUUUCAUUUUUUUUUCGUUAUUAAUACUCUAUGAAGGAAUUAACAGUAUUCUCGAGGAUUUUGUAUUCGCCAGCAUUCUAUUUAAAAGAUAACUAUUGCGCUCCGCGGACGUUUAUAAAAUCUUCGGUUGCUACGUCAGGCAGAUGUUAUGAUGAAACAGACUAUAAUAUCUUAUAUGCUUUGACUUGCCACAAAGACAAACUUUCCUGCUUCAGUAAAGAAGAUACUACACGGGAAGAUUACUAAUAUCAAUAAAAUUGAAGCUUCUGUAUUUAUAAGUUAUCAAAAUUUUUUUAUAUAUAUGUAAAAAAUCACAUUUUUAAUUUGAAAAAAAAAAAAAAAAUUAUUAAUAAGCAUCAGUACCCG
Molecule: long non-coding RNA, 408 nt
Filed under: Androctonus crassicauda
Lineage: Eukaryota; Metazoa; Arthropoda; Arachnida; Scorpiones; Buthidae
Source: RNAcentral